This 435-nucleotide ribosomal RNA is filed under the name uncultured bacterium. RNAcentral's name for it is "bacterial SSU rRNA". It matches the Rfam family "Bacterial small subunit ribosomal RNA", at positions 26 to 507 of the family's 1533-position model. The record is from RNAcentral.
AGAACGAACGCUGGCGGCAUGCCUAACACAUGCAAGUCGAACGAGACCUUCGGGUCUAGUGGCGCACGGGUGCGUAACACGUGGGAAUUUGCCUCGGGGUAUGGAAUAACUCAGGGAAACUUGAGCUAAUACCAUAUAAUGUCUUCGGACCAAAGAUUUAUCGCCCUGAGAUAAGCCCGCGUAGGAUUAGCUAGUUGGUGAGGUAAAGGCUCACCAAGGCGACGAUCCUUAGCUGGUCUGAGAGGAUGAUCAGCCACACUGGGACUGAGACACGGCCCAGACUCCUACGGGAGGCAGCAGUGGGGAAUAUUGGACAAUGGGCGAAAGCCUGAUCCAGCAAUGCCGCGUGAGUGAUGAAGGCCUUCGGGUUGUAAAGCUCUUUUACUCGGGACGAUAAUGACGGUACCGAGAGAAUAAGCCCCGGCUAACUCCGUG